UCGGCCCAAUCCAAUCGCCCGCACGACGCAACCCUUCCUCCCUAGCCGCCAGCCCUGCUCAUCCCCUCCUCCCCGCUCCCUCCAUCCUCCCCCAUGUCGCCGCCCCUCUUCUCCCCGCACGCCUCGGCCGCCUCCUCUCCUCCGCCGUGUCGUCGGGCCCCUCCCUCCUCCUACCUCCUCCUUCCUCCUCUCAGUCCCGUGCCAGCCGCCGCCCAAACCCUAGCCCCCGUUUCCCUCGAUCCCAACAGUAACCGCAUCCACAGCCACCUUCUCACAGCCGCUGCACCAUUCCUCCCUUCUGCCCCUUCCUCCUUCCCGGAUCCCCACCACGGCGCCGACAUGUAGACAAAGGGCCAGGCGGUGGUGCGCCCGCCGGAUCCGAGGCACGUGGGAGGGCAGCAGUGGCGCGUCGAUCAGAUCGAGAGCGACCCCGAUGGAGGGGAAGGGACCGGUAGGCGCGUGCAGGCGGCAGAAGCUUGGGGGAUUGGGGAGAUGGCGGCCAACCGAGUUUCUUCGACUGAUCUGGACAUGGCCAUGGCAGCGCACGCAAGGGGCGGAGGCGAGCGACCCUCUGGAGCAACGCACAUCGACAGACCUGAGUGCGUGAUGUGCAGCAGCAAGGUGAUACAUGCCUCUGCCCUUUCUCUCUCACAAUGGUGAGGAGCAAGUGUGUGCUGCUCUGAACCUUUUUGCUUUACAAAAGAGAAACUGGCCUGCACUUUCCCACUGCAUGGACAUAUAAUAUUUAGUGCUGAUACAAGGGUUUGUUGCUGCCGAAUGAUAGAAAUUCAGGCACAAGCGAUGGUGAUCUUAGUGGGAACAAUCAAAAGAGAAGCAGCAAAUGAAUCCCAGCAGACCCAUGUCAGAAUAACAUAUUUGCAAUAGAAUUUAGCAUGUCAAUUCUGUAGAUAAAUGCAGCAGAGACACAUGUAUAUUCGACGACAAUGGGUCUUGCACGCAUUGCAUGAAGGGAAGGGAACGAGCCGGCUUACCCAAUAGAACAAAUGUGUGUAGCCUGCGUCGUACCUUGCGAUAGAGCUCGUAUCCGGCCUUGAUCCUGACAACAUAUAUGUACGCUACAGAGCAUAAAAAUGGGAAAAUACAAAUAUGAUUGGUGGUUGGUUCACCAUUUAAAAAUUUGAUCUACCAAUUGUGUUUUAAUGAUUUCUACUUGAGCUAAAACCACGACAAUAAUUUUGGAACGGAGGGAGUACUUAUUUGUUGUUGUAUCUUUGAUAGUUUGAUAAAAAAUAUCAUGAAGGUUAAAUCGGGCGUGGUUUUAAUAUAUUUUUCUUACAAGAUAUUACAUCGGCUUUCUGGUUUGGAAAUACUUAUAAUCGUUUUCUUCUAACUGCAUCUGAGCCUACACUUUUGUAGACUACUCAGGAUAGAGAUGAUAUGAAUGUGAGCAACAAAGUUAUUUACUCAGGAAUGCCUUGGGACAAAACAACACGCUAAUGGCCAGCAGAUGGACUUAAGAUCUUCCAGAGGUACUUCAUUUUAACUAUAAAAAAUGAAUGCUGACAAAGUGCAAAUAUGAUACAGUUUUGCUGAUUGGAUGCAUUAUAUUCCAAGUUAACCUUUGCGUUGAGAAUAUCAUCCUAUUUUUUAUAGGAACAACUCGCUAUCAGUGCAUUACAAUUUUGUGUGGUACGUUUGUUUUUACCUAUUCCAGUUCUGAGCCUUACUUGUUCAUAUGGUUUCAAUUGCCGUCUCUCAUGUGACGUUGAGAAAAUCACAUGUAUAUGCGUAUUUUUUCCUCUGUACCCUGAUUUAUCUUAGUCCUUAUGUCAAAGAUACUGGAUGUAGUAAUAGAUCGACGUACUAACAAAUGCAAAGAGAAUGAACCUCCUCUUGAUUAGCUCAAGAGGACCUGUAUAGUGGCUUCAUGUAAUUUCUUGAUUUCCCAUAAUGAUUUUGCUGGCAAUUUGUCAGUGUUUUUAUAGCUGAAAUUGCAUGUAUAUAUUACAAAUUUACAUUGCAACAAAUUAAUAAGGAGUAUAGAAGCAUUUGCAUCUAUCUAACAUAUUUGUAUGGUAUGUUUCAAAAAUCUCAAGGUUAGAUAUGUACUGAUGUAUGAGGCUAUCAUUAGGAUGGAAGACAAUUAAUGUUAAAAUAUUGUUUGAUUUUCCUUCGUUCUGUAAACAGCAAUACAAGCUAUGUUUGCACCAUGAUUCUAUUCCAAUUUUUUUAACAACUGACAAUUAACAACACAUCAAAUGUUGCGUAUUGAAAUGGGUCAUAAUGGUUAUAUUCUACGACAGGAUUAGUUUUGUUUAUACUGUAACCUGUUCAAGGAUUGAUGAGUUUUCGAACCCUACGAUCUUUGCACACUAAGGUUCAGUUGUGUUCUUUGUGAAAUAUACAUCCUGCAAGUCUCAUGUGUCUUGCGUUGUUUUUGCUUUCCAAGCUACAGGCUUUUGAUAUACUCAAAAUGAGAUUCUUUAUAUGGUGUUCGAUUCCUCUUGCUAUCACCACAACGGGAAAUGUCUUACCCCCGCAAAAAAAACGGGAAAUGUCUUACGGUGGCAAUAUGCACUUCUAUGAUGUCUGAUUGACUUUUUUUUAGCAUGAAGAAUAAAUUUUACUUCACUAAGAUUAGUUUCUGUUCACAUUGCUCUGUAUAUAAAAAAGGAUUGUUGUGCUUACAAGGUUUAUGACAUUUUGGCGAAACAUUAUUUAGUAAAAAAGUAUGUAGAGGUGAACUUUAGAGGUGAAAUGUUGUGGAUGUUCUGACAAAGAGAUGCUUGGACUAACUUUAGCGUCACACCUUAUUCAAUAUCUGGGUAUUGGUUUCUACUAACUGUCAGUGCCUUAAUUUUUCUUUUCCUCCCAAUGCCAUGUGAUAUUUACUGGACUAUAAUUCACAUGCUUGCAAGUCGUCGUCGUGUCUCUCUCUCUAACUGCCCCCCUCCCAUCAUCUUGGCUUGCUCACUGUCACUAUGUCAGAUACCAUUUUAUUUAUCUCAUUAAGUUGUAUUGAUUGGCAAAAACACCUCACAAAUGCCAAAAAAUAAGCAACUCCUCUUGAUCAGCUCAAGAGGAUCUCCAGUGGCUUCAUGGUAUUUCUGAAUGUAUCUGUAUACCAGCCGAACGGGCAAAUACUCAAGUGACUGAAUGUGGUGACUAUAAAAGUCAGAACCGGGUACUUUUAUCUCUUGUGGAGAAUAUAAAUAUUUUUGUGGGUGCUCUUGUGUACAUAUAAAAAAUUUAAGGUGGUCAUGAUUCAGCUGACUAGGUUUUUUUUCUGUGUGAAGGAAAGAAAAAAGUUGGUACCUAAUAGAACCAAAGUAAUCGAUCCUCUUCUGUACAUUUGUAGAAAUAAAAUAGAAUAGCUUGGAAAGUAGUUUCGAUAUCAUUUUUGGAAAUAGCAUAUAGGUAGUCAUGGCAGGUUUUCUAUGAUCCAAAUAAGAGUACACAUGCCUUUGUUUUAACAUACAGAUUAAAUGUUGAAAAGUACAUUUUGAUUGCUUAGUCAGUGUAUUAUCCGUUCAAAAAAAAGUCAAUGUAUUGAUAAUAGUUUGGCUUCCUUGGUGGUGUAGAUUCAAGGAAAUUUAUAAAAUUCAUGCAUUCUUUCUUAACUUUUUUGCAUUUAUAUGUUCUGUACUGUUGAGUAAACUCAGUUGCAGCUAUAGCAAGUGAGCUCUAUAUUCAAUUCAGCUAACAGUUUUUGUUCCUACUAUUAAAACAUAUACUGUUUUUUAAGAGAAACAUACCUAAUGUUUUAUUUGAUUAACCCUGUAUGUAUAGCAAAUUUCUUCUAAUUUGUUUUUCUUAAGUGCUGAAGACUUCCAUAAGGGCGCAACUACAAAUAGUUCUUAUCUUCAGAGGGUAGCCUUAGUCUCUCUACCUUUUCUUUUUUGGUGUUGAUAAUUGGAUUAAAUAUGUUAGAUAGCUGCUGAGUAUUUUGAUUUGUUCUUAGGAAAAUCGUUUACACCAAGAGAUAGAAGACCUGGAGGACACUGGGUAUAAGUUGAGAGUUCUCGCACAAAAUCAUCCCGACACACCGUAAAAUGGAUAGAUGACCUGUUUGCGCCUCAAGAAGUCAUAGGCAGGACCAAAUAUAUGAUGGAGUGCACGACCAAAAUCUAUCCAUUUUGGUCGUGCGCUCCAUCAUACAUUUGCGCCUCUAAAAUUAGUUUGUUGACUAAAUUGUGUUGUUCCCUUUUGCCGUUCUCUACUCUUUUUGUCGUUUUAACUGUAAAAUAUGAUAUAUGAUAUAAUGGUUAUUUGUAUAUCGAGCAGGUGAUGUAAUUACUUUCAAUAGUGCUUCAGCUCUGCAAUCGACAGUUUGACCUCAUGCUAGGGCAACCUCAGCCAGUUGCCUCUUCUAUCAAAGUGCUGAUGGAAGACAUCCUGAGUCCUUAUUGCAUGCUAGAGAACAACAACUAUCUUGUUGGCGAUUCCCCUGAUAUUUGGUUCUACAAGUGUGGCAUAUGGACCAAUGAAAGCAAAGAUAUUCUGAAUGUAAUAGCUAUAUGGGUUGCGCCAAAUGGGUCAACAGUGGAAGCGUCACGCUUAAGUACCUGUGGAUGUGUACUAUGCAAGCAUUUUCAGACAAUGCAAUGGCACCCUGUUUGUACAUUCACACCCUUUGAAUGCCACAAUCAGACUAAGAAGAUGUCUAAAUGAGUUGUGAGGCUGCCUCCAUAUAAGUGUUUCUGUAAACUGAUCUAUGUCAUUCUACUACCUGUACUGGUAUCUGUAAUACAAUCCACAUUGCAUUCAAUGAGCAAAGUUUGAUAAAUUGUAUCUGUCGUCAU
Triticum aestivum (bread wheat) is the source of this 4763-nucleotide long non-coding RNA. RefSeq lists it as uncharacterized. The transcript is spliced from 4 exons. The record is from RefSeq and is a predicted model, not a curated record. Lineage: Eukaryota; Viridiplantae; Streptophyta; Magnoliopsida; Poales; Poaceae.